CAGAAUUAUGAGAAUAAUCUUCAUGAAAUUUUUUUUUCUGAAUUAACAAGAUCCCUCAAAAUCCUGCCAGAAGCUUUCACCUGCACGAAGUAACGUCAGGCCACAGUUGCUGUUGCAAAUCAGCCUGACCCUCCGAUAACAACAACAGUGCCAGGCCUACAUGUACAUGGGUUCAGUGCAGGGCCAGCUAUGGCUACAUCUUCAAAACCCCCCCUCCCACAAGAUGAUGGUCUGUGGAUGUUUCUUCAGAGCCGAGGGAUUCCUGAGUAAAAUAUACAGAAAAUGCAGCAAGAUCAUAUUGACAGCUCGGUAGUUGGAGAAAUAGAUGAUGCCACUAUGACUGCUUACAUUCCAGCAUAUGGUGAUAGGAUUGCUACAAGGCGUUUCUGUAUGGAAAAACAGAGAAAAGGUGGUGAUGAUCUAAAAAGACUGUCCUUAUUUGAAAAACUUAGAAGAAAGAUGGGCACAUUGACAAGCAAUAAAGACACAGAUAAAGAUUUUGAGGAGGAGCAUUCCAUGCAGCCAACAAAGAUACA
Molecule: long non-coding RNA, 536 nt
Organism: Carassius carassius (crucian carp)
Lineage: Eukaryota; Metazoa; Chordata; Actinopteri; Cypriniformes; Cyprinidae
Exons: 3
Source: RefSeq, a predicted model, not a curated record